This 1033-nucleotide long non-coding RNA is filed under the name Mytilus galloprovincialis (Mediterranean mussel). The record is from RNAcentral. Lineage: Eukaryota; Metazoa; Mollusca; Bivalvia; Mytilida; Mytilidae.
AAGAGAACCUCAAAAGAUCUUUAAACAGAAAGUAAAAUUGAGCGUUUUCAGAUCCUUAUAAGCAACGUAUCGACACAUUUUAUAUGAUCUUUAGGGACGGACCAUUUAACUUGCAGAGGGGGAGGCAUGCGCGCAUUUUUUUUUUAUUUUUGGGAAGUGGCGCGACAAAUUAUUUUUUUCAAAUUUAACAUUAUUUUUUAUGGUAAAUAUCCUCUGUCAAAAUUUUUUUUCUCCCUUUGCUGGCCAAAUUAUUUAUUUUCUCUAUUCAGAAUCAACAUAUUUAUUUACGAAAAAAAACAUGCCCCCCCUCCCCCCAAUUGCAAGUUAAUUGGUCCGUCCCUUAGUUUAGUCCGAUUGUGUUUCAAACUGACGAAAAGGUCAGUCAUUCGAUUUUUUGGCCUUCGCAAUAAGGUAAUAUGUCCCGGGAUAUUGAAUUUAUGUCAGUUUUCAAAUUUCUUAUGAAAAUGAGAUGAAAUAAUGAAUUUAUUUUUCUUUCAAACCAAACCCCCAAUAAGGUUCUCGUAUUGCUUAUCUUUUUUUAAAAGAUAGCAACCUGUUUUAAUUACGGAGUGCAGGACUCCUCCAAAUACGCGCCUGAAUACAGUGUUUUUACUUUUAAAAUUGCAUUAAGACAGUACAUAUUCCAACUUGUUUGAGCACGCCUAAAGAUUUUUGACGUGAAAUUAUAAGUGUAUAAUGAUAACUUGCAGAUUGGAUGCAUUUUAUGUUAUAAUUGGCCUUAUUGGAAUUACGAUCCAUGUCAACUUUAACUUGCAUUAACCUCGGGGUCAUUCGUAUAAAUAAAUAAAUAAAUAAUUAAAUAAGAAUAAAUAAAUAAAUCUUUAUUUAAAGAGAGUAACUCAUUUGGAUUAAAUCAAUUUUCAAUAAGGCUCUCUAUAGACACAAUAUUAACAACAUGAAUAAACAUAAUCUACUACUACGGUUUUUUUUUUAACGACCUUGACAAAAAGCCCUUGCACGGUUGAUAUAAACCAAAUCAAUCUAGCAAUACACAAUGAUGAAUAAUAGUAUA